GACGAACGCUGGCGGCGUGCUUAACACAUGCAAGUCGAACGGAAAGGCCCUGCUUUUGUGGGGUGCUCGAGUGGCGAACGGGUGAGUAACACGUGAGUAACCUGCCCUUGACUUUGGGAUAACUUCAGGAAACUGGGGCUAAUCCCGGAUAGGAGCUCCUGCUGCAUGGGGGGGGUUGGAAAGUUUCGGCGGUUGGGGAUGGACUCGCGGCUUAUCAGCUUGUUGGUGGGGUAGUGGCUUACCAAGGCUUUGACGGGUAGCCGGCCUGAGAGGGUGACCGGCCACAUUGGGACUGAGAUACGGCCCAGACUCCUACGGGAGGCAGCAGUGGGGAAUAUUGCACAAUGGGCGGAAGCCUGAUGCAGCAACGCCGCGUGCGGGAUGACGGCCUUCGGGUUGUAAACCGCUUUCGCCUGUGACGAAGCGUGAGUGACGGUAAUGGGUAAAGAAGCACCGGCUAACUACGUG
RNAcentral lists this ribosomal RNA (468 nucleotides) under uncultured bacterium. RNAcentral describes it as "partial 16S ribosomal RNA". It matches the Rfam family "Bacterial small subunit ribosomal RNA", at positions 28 to 507 of the family's 1533-position model. The record is from RNAcentral.